UGGGGAAUAUUGGACAAUGGGCGCAAGCCUGAUCCAGCCAUGCCGCGUGAGUGAUGAAGGCCUUAGGGUUGUAAAGCUCUUUCAGUAGGGAAGAUAAUGACGGUACCUACAGAAGAAGCCCCGGCUAACUUCGUGCCAGCAGCCGCGGUAAUACGAAGGGGGCUAGCGUUGUUCGGAUUUACUGGGCGUAAAGCGCACGUAGGCGGUUUGUUAAGUCAGGGGUGAAAUCCUGGAGCUCAACUCCAGAACUGCCCUUGAUACUGGCAAGCUAGAGUCCGGAAGAGGUAAGUGGAACUCCUAGUGUAGAGGUGGAAUUCGUAGAUAUUAGGAAGAACACCAGUGGCGAAGGCGGCUUACUGGUCCGGAACUGACGCUGAGGUGCGAAAGCGUGGGGAGCAAACA
This 402-nucleotide ribosomal RNA is filed under the name uncultured prokaryote. RNAcentral's name for it is "bacterial SSU rRNA". It matches the Rfam family "Bacterial small subunit ribosomal RNA", at positions 355 to 774 of the family's 1533-position model. The record is from RNAcentral.